GCUAAUACCGGAUAACAACAGAUGAUGCCUAUCAACUGUUUAAAAGAUGGUUCUGCUAUCACUCUUGGAUGGACCUGCGGUGCAUUAGCUAGUUGGUAGGGUAACGGCCUACCAAGGCGAUGAUGCAUAGCCGAGUUGAGAGACUGAUCGGCCACAUUGGGACUGAGACACGGCCCAAACUCCUACGGGAGGCAGCAGUC
RNAcentral lists this ribosomal RNA (200 nucleotides) under uncultured Lactobacillus sp. RNAcentral's name for it is "partial 16S ribosomal RNA". It matches the Rfam family "Bacterial small subunit ribosomal RNA", at positions 162 to 355 of the family's 1533-position model. Lineage: Bacteria; Bacillati; Bacillota; Bacilli; Lactobacillales; Lactobacillaceae. The record is from RNAcentral.